CUACGGGGGGCAGCAGUGGGGAAUAUUGGACAAUGGGGGAAACCCUGAUCCAGCAAUGCCGCGUGUGUGAAGAAGGCCUGCGGGUUGUAAAGCACUUUCGGUUGGGAGGACUGCUUCUAGCACUAAUAUUGUUGGAAGUUGACGUUACCUUCAGAAGAAGCACCGGCUAACUCCGUGCCAGCAGGCCGCGGUAAUACGGAGGGUGCAAGCGUUAAUCGGAAUUACUGGGCGUAAAGCGCGCGUAGGCGGCUAGAUCAGUCGGGUGUGAAAGCCCCGGGCUUAACCUGGGAACUGCAUCCGAUACUGUAUAGCUUGAGUACAGGAGAGGGGAGUGGAAUUCCACAUGUAGCGGUGAAAUGCGUAGAUAUGUGGAGGAACACCAAUGGCGAAGGCAGCUCUCUGGCCUGAUACUGACGCUGAGGUGCGAAAGCGUGGGGAGCAAACAGGAUUAGAUACCCGAGUAGUC
This 466-nucleotide ribosomal RNA is filed under the name uncultured bacterium. RNAcentral describes it as "partial 16S ribosomal RNA". It matches the Rfam family "Bacterial small subunit ribosomal RNA", at positions 339 to 795 of the family's 1533-position model. The record is from RNAcentral.